GCGCAUGUGGGUUGAGGGGAGAUAUUGGGCUGCUGCUCAGCUACGGCUCUGUGCUGCAUGCUGGGCUUUGAGGGAGGGAGAACCCAGGUAAGCUCUCUCUCCUAGAAAAGUCCAUCCAUCUUUUAUUUAAAAUAGAAAAUUGCAAAACCUCUCAUAGAAAAUAGAGAAAUGUUGUGGGCAAAAGAAAAAUAUGUUUUAGCUCACAAAAAUAAGAGAUAUUUAACAAAAUUGGUUGGAUAUUUUUAGAGACUGAAAAUUAAAUGCCGUUUUUAUUACCAUUUGGAACUGUUUUUGUAGGUUUAUAAAUAGCGAGAAAAAAUAAACAC
Molecule: long non-coding RNA, 326 nt
Filed under: Hordeum vulgare
Lineage: Eukaryota; Viridiplantae; Streptophyta; Magnoliopsida; Poales; Poaceae
Description: long non-coding RNA (HVUL_LNC009932)
Source: RNAcentral